Molecule: ribosomal RNA, 559 nt
Filed under: Diaporthe kongii
Lineage: Eukaryota; Fungi; Ascomycota; Sordariomycetes; Diaporthales; Diaporthaceae
Description: eukaryotic LSU rRNA
Rfam family: 5.8S ribosomal RNA (bases 206-359)
Source: RNAcentral
UCUCCGUUGGUGAACCAGCGGAGGGAUCAUUGCUGGAACGCGCUUCGGCGCACCCAGAAACCCUUUGUGAACUUAUACCUAUUGUUGCCUCGGCGUAGGCCGGCUUUUUCUAAAAGCCCCCUGGAAACAGGGAGAAGCCCGCCGGCGGCCAACCAAACUCUUGUUUCUACAGUGAAUCUCUGAGUAAAAAACAUAAAUGAAUCAAAACUUUCAACAACGGAUCUCUUGGUUCUGGCAUCGAUGAAGAACGCAGCGAAAUGCGAUAAGUAAUGUGAAUUGCAGAAUUCAGUGAAUCAUCGAAUCUUUGAACGCACAUUGCGCCCUCUGGUAUUCCGGAGGGCAUGCCUGUUCGAGCGUCAUUUCAACCCUCAAGCCUGGCUUGGUGAUGGGGCACUGCCUGUAAAAGGGCAGGCCCUGAAAUCUAGUGGCGAGCUCGCCAGGACCCCGAGCGUAGUAGUUAUAUCUCGCUCUGGAAGGCCCUGGCGGUGCCCUGCCGUUAAACCCCCAACUUCUGAAAAUUUGACCUCGGAUCAGGUAGGAAUACCCGCUGAACUUAAGC